UGGGGAAUAUUGCACAAUGGGCGCAAGCCUGAUGCAGCCAUGCCGCGUGUGUGAAGAAGGCCUUCGGGUUGUAAAGCACUUUCAGCGGGGAGGAAGGCGUUAAGGUUAAUAACCUUGGCGAUUGACGUUACCCGCAGAAGAAGCACCGGCUAACUCCGUGCCAGCAGCCGCGGUAAUACGGAGGGUGCAAGCGUUAAUCGGAAUUACUGGGCGUAAAGCGCACGCAGGCGGUCUGUCAAGUCGGAUGUGAAAUCCCCGGGCUCAACCUGGGAAAUGCAUUCGAAACUGGCAGGCUAGAGUCUUGUAGAGGGGGGUAGAAUUCCAGGUGUAGCGGUGAAAUGCGUAGAGAUCCGGAGGAAUACCGGUGGCGAAGGCGGCCCCCUGGACAAAGACUGACGCUCAGGUGCGAAAGCGUGGGGAGCAAACAGG
RNAcentral lists this ribosomal RNA (429 nucleotides) under Chloroflexota bacterium. Its description in RNAcentral is "Chloroflexi bacterium partial 16S ribosomal RNA". It matches the Rfam family "Bacterial small subunit ribosomal RNA", at positions 355 to 776 of the family's 1533-position model. Lineage: Bacteria; Bacillati; Chloroflexota. The record is from RNAcentral.